RNAcentral lists this ribosomal RNA (279 nucleotides) under uncultured bacterium. Its description in RNAcentral is "partial 16S ribosomal RNA". It matches the Rfam family "Bacterial small subunit ribosomal RNA", at positions 506 to 784 of the family's 1533-position model. The record is from RNAcentral.
UGCCAGCCGCCGCGGUAAGACGGAGGGUGCAAACGUUGUUCGGAAUCACUGGGCAUAAAGCGCACGUAGGCGGCUUGCUAAGUCAGAUGUGAAAGCCCUCGGCUCAACCGGGGAACUGCAUUUGAAACUGGCUGGCUAGAGGAUGGUAGGGGUAAGCGGAACUCCAGGUGGAGCGGUGAAAUGCGUAGAUAUCUGGAGGAACACCGGUGGCGAAAGCGGCUUACUGGACCAUAUCUGACGCUGAGGUGCGAAAGCCAGGGUAGCAAACGGGAUUAGAUA